UCAAAAGAAUCGCGUUUUUCCCCGGCACAUCUCUGCUUCAUGCAGAUAAAAGCGCGCAAUCACCUCUGAUCUUUCAUACCUCGUAGAUUGUCUUAAGGUUUGCGUUUGAAAACCAUUAACUUGAGAAAGUGAAGUAUCAGACACCAGAGAAUUUUCGAGGUGGACAAUACGUGACAAUUUUCUUCAAAACGAUAUAUUCUCCAACUUAACACCUCCAGCGAAAAACCAAACAUACUUUCAUUAUCCAGCCAUUUCGACGGUGCCGGCCCAUCAAGUUGUCCACUAGUUUCGACCCAAUUUCAAAUCUCUGCGAACAGGCUGAUUAGAUGGGAACUUUCAUGAUUUUUUUUUUCCUGCGUUAAUGAGAAUAGGGGUAAGUUCCCUUAAAUUCCUUAACGAAGGUAACUCUUUCGCUAAACAAGUAGCACGUAUUUACUUUUCCACAUUAUAAGGAAAUUAUCGGCUGUUAUAACUGUUCUAAACAUUAAAAAUAUCUUAGGUUAAUUAUUUCAAUAACAACAACAA
Long non-coding RNA from Stegodyphus dumicola, 525 nucleotides. Lineage: Eukaryota; Metazoa; Arthropoda; Arachnida; Araneae; Eresidae. The record is from RefSeq and is a predicted model, not a curated record.